UAGUAGAGCACACCAGUAGCAAAUCAGGUGAUGCACCACCUUCAUUAGAUGCUUAGUGUGUUCAAGUUUCUUAAUCAAUGGUGGCUGCGGAAUCGGGAUGUGAUGUAGUUGGAGAAGAGUCGGUUGCAACACCUAACAAAAUCAUUAAGCGUUGCAUUAGCCAAAGAGAAGCCAUGUG
Long non-coding RNA from Papaver somniferum (opium poppy), 178 nucleotides. RefSeq lists it as uncharacterized. The transcript is spliced from 3 exons. Lineage: Eukaryota; Viridiplantae; Streptophyta; Magnoliopsida; Ranunculales; Papaveraceae. The record is from RefSeq and is a predicted model, not a curated record.